Molecule: long non-coding RNA, 626 nt
Organism: Arabidopsis lyrata subsp. lyrata
Lineage: Eukaryota; Viridiplantae; Streptophyta; Magnoliopsida; Brassicales; Brassicaceae
Exons: 3
Source: RefSeq, a predicted model, not a curated record
GAACUUAAAGAGAGAGAGAGAGAGAGAAGGUAAGGUAAGGUUUAGAGAGAACUUGAGAGAGAGAGAAAGAAGGUAACGUUUUCACAAAGGAGGCUUCUCUCAGACGAAACGAAUAAAGAACAAAAAAAGCUGUGAAGAAUCCACAAAAGGUGACAAAAGCAAGAAGGAGAAGCAAACAUGGAUCCUUAUCUUGUCUUCUGAUUCACACACAAGAAAAGAAUGGAGGGUAGUGUAUUACUGCAACAAUGGUGGGGGUUUGAAGAAGAGCAUUUUCGUUAGAGAAGAAGAAGAAUUAGUUUCAUAACUCUUCAAUGUCGUUGAUCAGAUUCAUUUCUUUAUGUCUUUAAUUUAAUCAUCUCAUUAAACAAAAAAUAAUGUGACGGGUUGGGAAGUAGUGAUAUUGGCGGAAUGGCUCAAUCUCCUUGUCACAUUAUCAGUUUCUUUGUUUUCUUCUCUUAAAUUUUAAUUUAGAGGAAAAAGAAGAGAGAGAGAUCCAGUUCUACAUUUCUAUUUCUCUCGGGAAAUGUGCCUAUCACCAAAUCGGAUAGCUUGAUUUUUUUUUAUAAAAAAAAUAAUAAAAGAGGGAAAUAUACCAAUAUGUUAAGUAUUCACAGUUAUAUUGCUCA